RNAcentral lists this ribosomal RNA (253 nucleotides) under uncultured bacterium. Its description in RNAcentral is "partial 16S ribosomal RNA". It matches the Rfam family "Bacterial small subunit ribosomal RNA", at positions 524 to 776 of the family's 1533-position model. The record is from RNAcentral.
UACAGAGGGUGCGAGCGUUAAUCGGAAUUACUGGGCGUAAAGCGCACGUAGGCGGCUUGGUAUGUCGGGCGUGAAAUCCCCGGGCUCAACCUGGGAACUGCAUCCGAAACUGCCUUGCUAGAGUAUGGGAGAGGGAAGUGGAAUUUCCGGUGUAGCGGUGAAAUGCGUAGAUAUCUGGAGGAAUACCGGUGGCGAAGGCGGCAUCCUGGACCGAGAUUGACGCUGAUGAGCGAAAGCUAGGGGAGCAAACGGG